This 68-nucleotide transfer RNA is filed under the name Sapajus apella (tufted capuchin). RNAcentral describes it as "tRNA-Pro". The record is from RNAcentral. RNAcentral also lists the same sequence under 6 other names. Lineage: Eukaryota; Metazoa; Chordata; Mammalia; Primates; Cebidae.
CAGGGAGUAGUUUAAUAUAGAAUUUCAGCUUUGGGUGUUGACGGUAGAAUUAGGUAUUCUUUCCCUGA